This is a long non-coding RNA of Oxyura jamaicensis (ruddy duck), 2998 nucleotides long. RefSeq lists it as uncharacterized. The record is from RefSeq and is a predicted model, not a curated record. NCBI's taxonomy places the organism in Eukaryota, Metazoa, Chordata, Aves, Anseriformes, Anatidae. The transcript has 2 exons.
GAACUGGCAUCAAACAGAAAAUCUAUUUUUCGCCCUGCUCUGCUUGUCUACAGCAUCUGGAUAAGUUGGAGACAGAAUUUGCUAAACUGAAAAGUAUUUAGGGAGAAAAAGUUCUUCAUUUGUACCUUGGCUCUCAGCAGCUGGAUCCUUUAUGGAUGCUCUAAAAGAGCAGUGCAUUAUGACUUUCAGCAUUCCUCCAUAUACUCAUGCACUGAGAAGCUUUUGUGGGAUUUUUGUCUUAUCAGCAGUACGUUAUAAAAAUGUCAACUAUUUCCAAGCCUUUAAAGUUUCAUUGAAGGGACUCUUCUUAAUUUCAGCCCUGGAGUCGAUUUAUGUGUGGUUUGAUCGUCUGUUCCUCCUUCCAUACAGAUGCUAUCAACGUGGGCAGCAGAACAGCCCCGUCACAGCAGAUUAAUGGCAGAAUGUGGCGUUGCUUGUGGAAGCAAAGUAACUAAAGAUGAACAGUGAUGUUGUACCAUAUGAAUAAACUCUGAAAUCAGAAUAAUUUUUCUAAAUGUUUCAGCAUCCUAAGUACAAAGUAAUAACCCUGUCAGGAACAAUACUUGCUGCUCUCUCAUCUGGAUGUGAUGGGAAUUAGCUGCAGGUGUGCCAGUGGUGGGAAGCCAGCAGGCAGUUGCAUGAAAGGAAGAAAGUACACAAGUCCCUUGGUCACAGUGCGGGGGUAGAAACCUAAUCCUGCUUAGAAAACCAGAGCUGCUUUGAGUAUAGCAUUUGGUUUGGUUUCCUCAUGAGAAAGGUAACAGAAAAAAAUGGGAAAAAUAUAUUUUUUUAUCAGACAAAACAUGCUGUAGAUUUUGGUAGAAGAUAGAGGCUGGGUUGGAUGGGGCCUUGGCCAACCUGAUCUAGUGGGUGGCAUCCCCGCCUAUGGCAGCGGGGAUGGAGUUAGAUGAUCUUUAAGGUCCCUUCCAACCUGACCUGUUCCAUGAUUCUGUGAUGAUUCCAUGAUUCUACAGAGAACAGCCUGUGAAAUCCAGAACUAGAGAAGGUGGGUAUAGAAAGGUGGAUGGUGAGGAAAAGCUUGCUGAGCACUCCCUACCUUAGUACAAAAUCAAGGAAGGGCAGAACUUCAGCGAAGGAUGAGAUUUAAUGAUAUUCCUGUUCACCUCACCAAAACAGAAAUAAUCCCGAGGCAUUACCAGGGUGAAGGUUACUUAGCUGUUUUUCAAAUUUGCUGAACUGUUAGCUUAUAGAUUUCCAUGUGCAUUCAUUUUCAGAGGGCCCAGCCAAAAGAUGCUUGAUACUGAGGAAAUUGUGAAAAUCUAACUCCUCAUAGCUGUCUCAAGGAGAUAAUCUAAGUGCUGUGCUCUGACACUCUGGAAAAGUCUCCUGGAGGCAGGUGAAGCACCCCUGUUGCGUGUACUUGUUAUAAAAAUGCACAGGUUGUGGCAUGGUAGGAAAGGCAUCAAUGCAUUUUGGUUCAAGUGUGGUAAGCAUGUUUUGCUUUCGUGGGCAGCUCUUCUAAUGAUUUAAUCGGCAUUGCUGGGUGAUGACCAGGGUGUCAAGCAGGAGCUGGAAACAGGCAGUUUCUCAACCACUAAGUGGCAAGUGGCUUUGGGCUGGCUUUUAUUGCAGGGGGAAAUAAGCUGGUUCCUUCUGAAGCUGUCCUAGAAAAAGUUUAAAUUAUUUCCUAGGUUUGCUUGGUAGCCAGACUACAGGAGAUGUUAGUCUGAGUUUGCAUGGAGGUAGGUUUGGGAUUUCUCUUUCCUAUUGUCAGCAAUCAGGACAGUAUUUUUCAACCCAGACAGUUUUUAAUUUUUAAAGCUGAUGAGUGCCUCACUUGACAGAGUGUUAAACAUUUACAUGCACUGGUAGGGCGCCUCCUUCAUAUCAAACUCAGAUGUCUAAUCUGCAAAAAUAACCCCCAAAACAAACUGAAAACAAUUCAUAUGCAAAAAGCAUGGCCAAAAAACAUUUCUUACUUCUGUGAUCAAAGCAGGAAAUAUCUAGUUUGGUUUGUGCGAUGGGGUUAGGUUUUCUUCCUCCCUGUAACAUAGCUUCAGUCAGAUGUCAGCCAAGAGAUAUGUGUGGAUUGUUCAUCCCCCUGUGGAUUUGUGGGAACACACACUAGGAGACCAGAUCAACAUUGUCAUAGUGCCUGCAUUGAUCUUACACUGUGUUUAUGUGGACUCCAGCCAUUGUUCCUUUCUUCUCCAGCAUCCAGAGGGUAUAAUGGAUUGUUUUAUACAUAAUGGUGAUAAUACUUAGCUGUUGUAUUGCAUUUGUAAGGCAUUUUGUAGCGAAGGUCAAUAUAAUUAUCACCAUUUUGCAGCUGGAAAACAAAAGCAGAGAGACUUGAAGUGCUUUGCCCACAUCCAUGAGUCUCACAGCAGUGAUGGGGCUCAGAAGAGAAGCCCAGAACAAGGCCCUGGCUCCCAUGUCCUGGCUCUGGUGCUCUUUUCCAAGCGGAUAGGGCUGCACAGGGUCCUGUGGCUGUUUCCCCCACAGACAUGUGGUGCUGUUACACCCCAGGCCCCCAGCACGGGUGGCACUUUGUCUCCACAAGAGCACAUGAAGGAUACAGGGCGUGUUAGUUGCCCCAGAAACCUCCCAGGCCAAUUGCUUUGGUCGCCACAAGAGCUACACGGUGGUGGGCACAAAAGGCACAGGUCUCCCAUUGCUGAGACUUGUCUGGAGCCUCUCAGGUGUCCGGGAUGCCUGCUCUGGCAGCUUGUUUCUCCACUGAAUCAUCAGCUCUUUGCCUCGUGCUUCCUCUGGUGACCUAAGGAACCAUGUCCCAUCCUUCCCCACCUCUCUCUGCCAGCCCAAGGGGGUUUGGGAGCAUGGUGCAGCUGCCCUGGACUUCCCCCAGCCUGCCUGCAGCUCCAUCACGAGGCAUGCAAAGACAGCUUCUGCCUAACACUGAACCAAAAGUGUGAUGUGACCAUGGGUCAAGGCCACGAGCUGCUGCACUUGGUAGGCAGGAGAUUUUUGCAUGUUCUCAGUCUGUGCAGAGCACAUCUUAGUGACUAAAACUCCA